GACAUCGUGCUGUAUAGGAUGAUGACAUCGUGCUGUAUAGGAUGAUGACAUCGUGCUGUAUAGGAUGAUGACAUCGUGCUGUAUAGGAUGAUGACAUCAUGUAAGAACAUUACUGAUCAACAUGAGGAGUCCGUUUCAUUCUGAAAAUUUGUACUAAAUGCCACCCUACGCCCUAUAGGCCCUGGUCUGAAGUAGUGCACUAUAUAGGGAAAAGGGUGCCUUUUGGGAUGAAACCGGAGGUAUUUGGAUUAGGUAUUUCUGACCGCGUUCUCCUGUAGGAAGAUGGAUGCCUUGAUGUUGAUUUGAAUACAUUUUUAACUAGUUCUUCCAUAUGGUUGGGAAGUGUAGGUAGGUGUUUUUAUAUUAAGGAUUUGUAUAUAUCUCUAUAUCAGGGUUAAAAAGCUUCUGACUCAAACUAGACACACAUUGUCCAGGUAUAUCUAUCGCUAUAAAAAUGACCUUUACUUGGUGGGUGGUUCAAUCUUUUAGAAGGUUUCACCAAGAACAGGAAAUGCACACGCCUAGCUAAAGAUAAUUUAUUACAAAUAAUUAAUAUUAGACUUCAUCAUUAAUAGUUUUAUUGAGUAGAGAUCUUUAUCAGAGAACAUGACUUGUCAGGAAUGUAUGUUGAAGACUGGCUGGCUAUAGUUUUGUUUUUGACUGAAGAGUCCUAUCUGUUUUAAUGGAGGGGUAUAUUGGUACGCGUGUUGUUAGGCCAAUAGCCAAUACAAUCACUUUUAACACCGGCUUCCAGGGCAAUAUCUCUUUUAUUCAACGGGUUACCAACCUAUUGAAAUAAUGAUUGACAUAUUUUCAUUCAAAACGUUAUUUCGAUGAAUUCAUUCAUACUUUUUCAAACUUCUAUAAGAUAAAGUCCCGACACAUAUCUCGGGUUGCUACCCCAAGCGGACUGGUCGUUCGUUCUAUUGGUUCUUAUUCCUUGCUAGCUAGCCAACUAUGGCUAACUUACUGUCACGUCAAACAGAGCAGACAGAAUAACAAUUGUAGCUGCAUUUGUUUAAGCUGUUUUCUAGUGACAUUUAGUUGGAUACAUCAAUAACAAUGAGCUAAUGAGGUGGGAUUUCACCUGGCAUAGAAAAUGUGGUCUCAACAACACAGCUUACACAAUCACUUGAAAAUGUCGGACAGACAAAGUUGUAUACAAAUGUCCACUGUUAAACUACAUUUUAGUCUAAAAGAAAUGAGAAUGUCGAGAUGAUUUUUAUAGUGGAGAUCAAGUAUAUAAAUUGCCUGGCUGGGCUGAUGAGACAGUGGAUUGUACAGUCAGAUGGAACAGAGUAAAUGGGCAUUUCAACGUCAUAGAUUUCGUCGGUGGUAACUUCUGGAAUAAACACCAGCUGGAAUCUGGUUUUAAAUUAGGAUUAGACCCACCCGUUGUAUAGUACUACAUUGAUCACAGCCUUUGAGUUUUGAAUAAAGCUAGUCUGAAGAAGCUGAGGACAUUAUAUUCACAAUUAAUUUCUAUCUUUUACUUAAAUGCACACUUAUGGUAUCUUUUGGAUUGUUUAACAACUAUGUUCUAGAUUAAAGAUUGUCUGACAAUGGUCUGAUAUUCACAUGGGUUAGGUAUUGUAUUGCCUUGUUAUUUGAGGGGAGCUUUUUGGUCAGAUCAGUGCCCAUGUUGCAUGAUGUCGUCAUGUACAGUUUGUUAGAACAGAAUACCAGUUGGGCUUGUUGUACAGCAGUAAUGUGUAUAAUUCUAUUAAAGCACUGGAGAAAGACAAAGAGCAGUGACGUUCUUGUGCCUAGAGUAUAUUGUUCCUAUGAUCUGUCAGUCAAUAAAGGGGAUGUCUUUCUUAAUGUUGUGUGUGACUGAUCAUUCAAGACAUUUUGGGUCCAUGUAGGAUUUCUCUUGAAAGAAAC
This is a long non-coding RNA of Oncorhynchus tshawytscha (Chinook salmon), 1884 nucleotides long. Lineage: Eukaryota; Metazoa; Chordata; Actinopteri; Salmoniformes; Salmonidae. The record is from Ensembl.